This 460-nucleotide ribosomal RNA is filed under the name uncultured Prevotella sp. Its description in RNAcentral is "bacterial SSU rRNA". It matches the Rfam family "Bacterial small subunit ribosomal RNA", at positions 338 to 795 of the family's 1533-position model. The record is from RNAcentral. Lineage: Bacteria; Pseudomonadati; Bacteroidota; Bacteroidia; Bacteroidales; Prevotellaceae.
CCUACGGGUGGCAGCAGUGAGGAAUAUUGGUCAAUGGACGGAAGUCUGAACCAGCCAAGUAGCGUGCAGGAUGACGGCCCUAUGGGUUGUAAACUGCUUUUGUAUGGGGAUAAAGUUAGGGACGUGUCCCUAUUUGCAGUUACCAUACGAAUAAGGACCGGCUAAUUCCGUGCCAGCAGCCGCGGUAAUACGGAAGGUCCAGGCGUUAUCCGGAUUUAUUGGGUUUAAAGGGAGCGUAGGCUGGAGAUUAAGUGUGUUGUGAAAUGUAGACGCUCAACGUCUGAAUUGCAGCGCAUACUGGUUUCCUUGAGUACGCACAACGUUGGCGGAAUUCGUCGUGUAGCGGUGAAAUGCUUAGAUAUGACGAAGAACUCCGAUUGCGAAGGCAGCUGACGGGAGCGCAACUGACGCUUAAGCUCGAAGGUGCGGGUAUCAAACAGGAUUAGAUACCCUGGUAGUC